UACGGAGGGUGCAAGCGUUAUCCGGAUUCACUGGGUUUAAAGGGUGCGUAGGCGGGCAGGUAAGUCAGUGGUGAAAUCCCCGAGCUUAACUUGGGAACUGCCGUUGAUACUAUCUGUCUUGAAUACUAUGGAGGUAAGCGGAAUAUGUCAUGUAGCGGUGAAAUGCUUAGAUAUGACAUAGAACACCUAUUGCGAAGGCAGCUUACUACGCAGAUAUUGACGCUCAUGCACGAAAGCGUGGGGAUCAAACAGG
RNAcentral lists this ribosomal RNA (253 nucleotides) under uncultured bacterium. Its description in RNAcentral is "partial 16S ribosomal RNA". It matches the Rfam family "Bacterial small subunit ribosomal RNA", at positions 524 to 776 of the family's 1533-position model. The record is from RNAcentral.